AACGAACGCUGGCGGCAUGCCUAACACAUGCAAGUCGAACGAGGCCUUCGGGUCUAGUUGCGCACGGGUGCGUAACGCGUGGGAACCUGCCCUUAGGUUCGGAAUAACUCCCCGAAAGGGGUGCUAAUACCGGAUAAUGUCUUCGGACCAAAGAUUUAUCGCCUUUGGAUGGGCCCGCGUUGGAUUAGCUAGUUGGUAGGGUAAAAGCCUACCAAGGCGAAGAUCCAUAGCUGGUCUGAGAGGAUGAUCAGCCACACUGGGACUGAGACACGGCCCAGACUCAUACGGGAGGCAGCAGUGGGGAAUAUUGGACAAGGGGAGAAAGCCUGAUCCAGAAAUGCCGCGUGAGUGAUGAAGGCAUUAGGGUUGUAAAGCUCUUUUACCCGGGAUGAUAAUGACAGUACCGGGAGAAUAAGCUCCGGCUAACUCCGUG
This 433-nucleotide ribosomal RNA is filed under the name uncultured bacterium. RNAcentral describes it as "partial 16S ribosomal RNA". It matches the Rfam family "Bacterial small subunit ribosomal RNA", at positions 29 to 507 of the family's 1533-position model. The record is from RNAcentral.